RNAcentral lists this ribosomal RNA (114 nucleotides) under Danio rerio (zebrafish). Lineage: Eukaryota; Metazoa; Chordata; Actinopteri; Cypriniformes; Danionidae. The record is from RNAcentral.
AGCGGCAGGCUUAUCACCCUGCAGCCCAAGACUGAUUACUCACUGAAGCUAAGCAGGGCUGAGCCUGGUCAGUACCUGGAAGGGAGAAUACAUGGGAAAACUAGGUUGCUGUUA